AAAAAAAAGAAAGUGCCAAGAUCCACUUGCUGUUCUGACAGGACCCCCGAGUCUACUGUGCAGAGGAACAGUGGCGGGGAUUGGGCCAAAGACAGGAGGUGACUGUCCAGAAGGAAGUGGCCCUAACAGAGAGCAUGGACACUGUACAGGGGAAGCAAGUGUGCCCAGAGCCUGAGGUCCCAGCCCCCUCUUCUCUGAGACCCCUGGCAGAAGGAUGCUUCCUGGGGAGGGGGCUUCAUCUACACGGCUUGUGGGGGGCGCAGUGGGGCAGCACAGGGGCCCAGGUUCCAGUCCUAGCCUGGCCCGCAAUUGCUGCAUGGUUUGGGGGGAGCUGAUCCGAGCCUCAUUUCCCCAUCUGUAGAAUGGGACAAUAACUCUCCUGCCCACGUUCCCCGCAGCACCAUUCACAACAGCCAAGAUUAAGAAGCAAUCUAAGGCUGGGCGUCGUGGCUCACACCUGUAAUCCCAGCACUUUGGGAGGCUGAGGUGGGUGGGUCACCUGAGGUCAGGAGUUCGAGACCAGCCUGGCCAACAUGGUGAACCCUCAUCUCUACUAAAAAUACAAAAAUUAGCCGGGCGUGGUGGCAGAUGCCUGUAAUCCCAGCUACUUGGGAGGCUGAGGCAGGAGAAUCGCUUCAACUUGGGAGGCGGAGGUUGCAGUGAGCCGAGAUCCUGCCACUGCACUCCAGCCUGGACAACAAGAGUGAAACUCUGUCUCAAAAACAAACAAACAAACAAACAAAAAGUAAUAAAUUUAAAUGUCAUUCAUCAGUGGAUGAAUGGGUAGAGAAAAUGCAGUACCUAAACAUGAUGGAAUAUUAUUCAGCCAUAGAAGAAUGAGAUCCUUGGCCAGGUGCGGUGGCUCACACCUGCAAUCCCAGCACUUUGGGAGGACAAGGCAGGCAGAUCACCUGAGAUGAAGAAACGGAGGUGCGGAGCAGAGAAGCGACCUGGUCAAGGAACCCAGUGGCAGAGUCAGACCCCCACCUCCUCACCUGUCCCCAGAGCCUGUGCUCUUAGCCCAGCACAGCUGAAUGGGAUCCCUCCUCAUCCAACUCACCCAAAUACCUUUCAGAAGAUGUAAAGUGGCUUCUCAAAAGGAUCAAAGAGGCCAGGCACGGUGGCUCACACCUGUAAUCCCAGCACUCUGGGAAGCCGAGGCGGGUGGAUCACCUGGGGUUAGGGGUUUGAGGCCAACCUGACCAACAUGGUGAAACCUCGUGUCUACUAAAAAUACGAAAAUUAGCUGGGCGUGGCGGCAGGCACCUGUAAUCCCAACUGCCUGGAAGACUAAGGCAGAAUUCCUUGAACCUGGGAGGCAGAGGUUGCAGUGAGCUGAGAUUGUGCCAUUGCACUCUAGCCUGGGCGAUACAGUGAGACUCCGCCUCAAAAAAAAAAAAAAAAUCAGAUCAAAGAAUAAGAUAGAAUCAGGAGGCUGGGCACGGUGGCUGCUGCCUGUAAUUCUAGCACUUUGGGAAGCCAAGGCAGGAGGAUUGCUUGAGCCCAGGAGUUCCAGACCAGCCUGGGCAAUAAUGUGAGACCCUGUUUCUACAAAUAAUAAAAAUACAAAUAAUUAGCCAGGUGUGGUGGUGCAUGCCUGUGGUCCCAGCUACUUGGGAGGCUGAGCGGGAG
Molecule: long non-coding RNA, 1632 nt
Filed under: Homo sapiens (human)
Lineage: Eukaryota; Metazoa; Chordata; Mammalia; Primates; Hominidae
Description: HSALNT0384398
Source: RNAcentral